AGCCCUUGUACAGGCUGGUCAGACCAUUUUGUUGCAGAUUUCUUUGGAGAAGCCUCACCCAUCAGAUCUUUUGGUUUGUUUGUGGAGCAAGACUCAGUGCUGCUGAGCAUGUGCUUCCCCUGGGCCAGGCUGCUCCAAUUUCAGUAAUACUGUGGGUAGAGUUUGCAAGAAUUAAAACUGGCUUGCUCAGAAAGUGAAAGGACCCAGCUUUCAUAAACCCACGAUCCCCAGCUCCUGUGGGAAAGACUCUGAGGUGGAUAGCUGAAAACAUCCUCGUUCAGACAGACCUCCUACAGAAGCCUGUAUGAGUCUAGCAGACACUAGAGCUUGAAUAGGGUUCAUGAGUUCAUUUUGACUUAAUAGUUCAUAUGAGCAUUUGAAAAAAAAAAGUAACUCUGCCUCUUCUCCACUGAAGAUCUUUCAGCUCUGUGCUUGACAACUGCAUUUAUCUGAUCGUGUACAAGAAGACUGAUUUUCAGGUGAUUUCCUUGUAAUGUCAAGCCAUAAAGCAGCCUGGAGUCUGAUCCCAGAGGACCUUACCCAGCACUGUCUGCUGUCUGCAGCCAACAGUCAUUUCUUGCAAAUAAUUAAACCCCUGUGGAGCAUCAAUAGCUGGGUUGCUGAUAUUGCAUUUAGAUAAGAAGGAGGAUCUGUAGGUGAUGCAGGAGAAUAACUCUGAAGAAUCUGUUCUCUCUCUAAAGCAUUUUCUAACAGAAAGCAGAUGUCUAUCAAAUCUUCCUCUUGCCAAUUAAAUUUAGGGCUGAAAUUGCUGCUUUUGUAGAGCUUCAGGAGGUCCAGCCCUCACAAGCACAUCGGCUUGUUGCUCCAUUUGUGUUCUGGAUCAGUGCAGAUGAAGGCUGUGAUCAGACAUGUCCCAAAGCACCCCAGACCUGGCACUCUCUCCCCACUCCUGGCUGCCUUUAACUGCAGGUACCAGGGCAAGAUGUGGAAUCAAACCUUUCUCGGCAGGUGCAGCCUGUUCUCCUCCCUGCUCAGGGCAGCCCCAUGGACACUGUCACAGGCUUCCCCAAGCACUUACCUGCACUUGCCCCUCACAUGGGGAAGCUCACUGACAUGAGUGGAAGCUCACUGACUGCAUCUUGAGCCUUCAGUGAGAGCCAGGGUGUGUACCCUCCUCCCCUCAUCAAACUGUUGAUUCAGAAGAGCUAAACACUCAAAGCUCCUGCCACAGAUAAUGGGAGCCGCAGUAAAAGCUCAGCAAUCAUGAAAAUCAAGCCUUCAAUAGCACUCUUGGGAAAGGAGAUGGCCUAUCCUGCCACAAACCUUUAAAAGCCCUGGUAGCGCAGUGAAAGUGGUUUGUAAUAGCAGGAAUUCAUUUGUUAAUAAAUUUCCCCUUUCUUGUCCUGUCACUAAUUCAGUGCACUUCAGCUGCAAGGUGGCUGGUGCUCAUGCUGGGGAAAGGCAACUCAGGGCUCAAGGGAUCUUGGCAGGGUCACGUUUUGAGAAAAGCUUCCUGGCUCAUUUUGGUGUACAUGGGCUCACAAAUGUACCUCUUUACUAGCUUGGUCAGCAGCUGCUUUCCUUCUGGAGUAUAUGCUGUACAUAAAGAAUAGCAACUGUAAUAAUUUUAGGAGAAUAAGUUUAAAGAAAAUACAUGGGAAAGAGGGAUUGACCACAUAAAACACUAACAAGAGACAGUCUUGCACUGGCAGUGAGAAGAAAGAUGUUUUAAUGGGCUUCCCUGAUUACCACUACUGACUUAGUAGAACCUUCUACUCUCCUUAAUGAGAAUAGAUGAACUCUCCUAACUUUAGGAGUGACCUCUGUAUGACACCUUUGCUUGAGGCUGGAGCCAGGCUGGUGUUCCUGGAAGAGGUGGGAGUACUCAGUUAUUUAUGGCUAAGUCUUUUGAAAGAAAUAAAAUUGUGCUGUACCAGAAUAACUCACUGCA
Pseudopipra pipra is the source of this 1912-nucleotide long non-coding RNA. RefSeq lists it as uncharacterized. The record is from RefSeq and is a predicted model, not a curated record. NCBI's taxonomy places the organism in Eukaryota, Metazoa, Chordata, Aves, Passeriformes, Pipridae. The transcript has 3 exons.